This 467-nucleotide ribosomal RNA is filed under the name uncultured bacterium. RNAcentral's name for it is "partial 16S ribosomal RNA". It matches the Rfam family "Bacterial small subunit ribosomal RNA", at positions 28 to 506 of the family's 1533-position model. The record is from RNAcentral.
GACGAACGCUGGCGGCGUGCUUAACACAUGCAAGUCGAACGGAAAGGCCCUGCUUUUGUGGGGUGCUCGAGUGGCGAACGGGUGAGUAACACGUGAGUAACCUGCCCUUGACUUUGGGAUAACUUCAGGAAACUGGGGCUAAUACCGGAUAGGAGCUCCUGCUGCAUGGUGGGGGUUGGAAAGUUUCGGCGGUUGGGGAUGGUCUCGCGGCUUAUCAGCUUGUUGGUGGGGUAGUGGCUUACCAAGGCUUUGACGGGUAGCCGGCCUGAGAGGGUGACCGGCCACAUUGGGACUGGGGUACGGCCCGGACUGCUACGUGAGGCAGCAGUGGGGGAUAGUGCGCAAUGCGCGGAAGCCUGAUGCAGGAACGCCGCGUGCGAGAUGACGGCCUUCGGGUUGUAAACCGCUUGCGCCUGUGACGGAGCGUGAGUGACGGUAAUGGGUAAAGAAGCACCGGCUAACUACGU